UGUGGGAGCGGGCUUGCCCGCGAUGACGGCCGUUCAGUCGAAAAGGAUGUCGUCUGACGAUCCGCCAUCGCGGGCAAGCCCGCUCCCACA
This 90-nucleotide unclassified non-coding RNA is filed under the name Pseudomonas arsenicoxydans. The record is from RNAcentral. Lineage: Bacteria; Pseudomonadati; Pseudomonadota; Gammaproteobacteria; Pseudomonadales; Pseudomonadaceae.